Molecule: ribosomal RNA, 253 nt
Filed under: uncultured bacterium
Lineage: Bacteria
Description: partial 16S ribosomal RNA
Rfam family: Bacterial small subunit ribosomal RNA
Source: RNAcentral
UACAGAGGGCUCAAGCGUUGUUCGGAAUCAUUGGGCGUAAAGGGUGUGUAGGUGGCGCCGUAAGUCGGGUGUGAAAUUUCGGAGCUUAACUCCGAAACUGCAUUCGAUACUGCGGUGCUUGAGGACUGGAGAGGAGACUGGAAUUCAUGGUGUAGCAGUGAAAUGCGUAGAGAUCAUGAGGAAGACCAGUGGCGAAGGCGGGUCUCUGGACAGUUCCUGACACUGAUACACGAAAGCCAGGGGAGCAAACGGG